Molecule: unclassified non-coding RNA, 3383 nt
Filed under: Daphnia pulex (common water flea)
Lineage: Eukaryota; Metazoa; Arthropoda; Branchiopoda; Diplostraca; Daphniidae
Description: n-chimaerin-like, transcript variant X1
Source: RNAcentral
AGGUAGUCUGUUUCACCGUCAGGUGGCGUCUGGUUCACCGACUAGCCAGGUUUACACAACUUUCGACAAAGUAGUAGGGUAGAAAACCAAUGUAGUCACAAUUUUAAAAAGUUAAAAUAGUAAAAUUCCUUCAAAAUGGUUACCUCCAAAAAACUAUAGUCCUAAGCUACGUUUUGGCCUUGGAUGUUAUUUUAUUCUGCAUUCAAGAUCCUGCAAGUCGACUUUUCCAUGCUUAAGGAACUCGCCUUUAACCUGAUCUUGUGCGUAUAUUAGUACGGACACCGUGCACCCGAGCGCGGGGAAAUUAAUUGACGGCGGAACUUGGUCUUACCGCCCAGGGACCGUCUUAUUCUGAUCGAAGGUGUGGGACUAGACUGCUAGUACCAUAGCGACAAUGACACGGUGCAAUCACCAGCGACGGACCUCGAUAGGUUUUAUAGGUACUUCCUGAGGGUUGAGACGGACCUCAUGUGGUCCUCGGAACAUCGCGACGAUCACGCUCAUCGAUCGUCAUGUCUUCUUCUCUUUUUCAUCUUGGGGAAACUUCUACUCCAUCACGAAGGAAAUAUGAGAUUAAAUAACAGAAACACGUCCCUCACCUCUCGAAAGGUAAGCAUAGAUAGACUGUAUUAUACGUUCUGCGCAAAUCAUUCUGUAACUAUUUUCGACUAAGCUUUGAGAGCUAACAACCGUGAUCCAAUGGUGCGCAUAUUGACUGAACGUUUCAUACACCACAUUUGGUAUGGAAAGAAUGAAAUUGUAACAUUUGUCUGAAACACGGAAUGGAUUCUAUGAUUUAAUCAAGAAAAACAUUUAAGAUUUAAAUUGCUUUGAAUUGUGCAGUAGUGCAGCUUAUACGUACUUUGGUUCAAUGAGUCAACUUGGAGAAAUGUUCCAGCAUUAAUUGAAAUCGGAUAGAAAAAUUUCCACAUGCUUUGCUAUUUAUGAAAUUAUUCAUAUUCAUAGUCUAGGAUUACUGAUUGGGAAUUGAGAUAUCGAAAGGCUUUUGGUAAUUUCCAUUUAUAAAAAGUGGUUCGUAUUGAUAUUUCGUUUCAACUUUGAAUUUCAUUUACUCACAACCAACAUGUUGACAUCUAGCGGCCAGAAAACAAACCUGACUGUGGAGACUACACGUCAAAUUGCCAAGUGUUAUGAUUGUACUUCAAGUCUUUGACCUGAAUGCAGGUAGAAAAUUAACUCGUUCUGUAUACUUCCUCUCGAAUGGAAGAAUCCCGGCUCUACUCACAGGAAUGAGCAGUAAUGACGAAAAUAGCGACUCGUUGACUUUAUCUCCAGUCUGGAAAUCUUAUCUUUACCAGUUACAGCAAGAAGCUCCUACAGCCGUUGCUGUUCUUUGCUCUUCCAAUCAAGAGGAUGCCAACAGACCUCCAUACUUUGAGGAUGAGUACCAUGGCUGCAUUUCAAAUCAGGACACUAAAAUGUUGUUGAUGAAAGAUGGUCAUUUCCUUGUCAGAGAGAGUGGAAAGAAUAGAGGACACCACACAUUAAGCCUCAGAUUUAACAAUGAAUUGAAGCAUUACAGGUUAUAUUUUGAUGGCAGAUUUUUUGUUGGUGAAAAGAAAUUUGAUCUGUUGUUAGAUCUGGUUACUGACGGCCUAAUUACAAUGCAUUUGGAAAUAAAAGCUGGUGAUUACAUUCAUCUCAUGUGUCGAGCGGCAAGUUACGAGCAAAGCCCCUACUUCACCCUAAACGAGAGGAAGCGUCGCACUUUGAGUCGUAAUAAUAGGCCUGCCCUUGUUCAGCCGAUCUCAGACGACAUUCAUUAUGACAAAGCCCAUGACUUUCGAAUCCAAAACUUCAAAGGCUUGCAUUGGUGCGAUUUUUGUGGAAACUUUAUGUGGGGUAUAAUUGCCCAAGGAGUUCGAUGUGAAGAUUGUGGAAUUUCAGCUCAUCGAAAGUGCUCAGAAAAAAUUCCAGCUGACUGCUGUCCGGAUCUGAAACUUUUAAGAGGAGUUUUUGGCGUGGAUUUGACUACCCUCAACAAAGCGCAUGGAAACACGCGUAUUCCUUUUCUAGUUGACAUGUGCGUUAAAGAAAUUGAAAGACGAGGCCUUAACUCCGAAGGAAUUUACAGAGUCUCUGGUUUGAGAGAUGACGUUGAAGCAUUAAGACUUGCUUUUGACAGAGAUGGCGACAAGACUGAUCUAGGACCUUCGUCCUGGGAAGACAUCAAUGUUGUCGCUGGUGUACUGAAAUUAUAUUUCCGUCUUCUACCAAUUCCAUUAAUUGCCUUUCAGGUUUACCCGCUUGUGAUGACAGCUGCAAAAGAGCCUGAUGAAAACCGCCGUUUGCAACGAAUAAAAGAUGCCGUACAUUUACUUCCACCUGCUCACUAUAACUCGUUGAAAUAUCUUAUCUUUCACUUACAUAGGAUAGCGGAAAACAAAGAAAAGAAUAAGAUGUCGUCUCUGAAUUUGAGUACGGUUUGGUGCCCCACCUUAUUUCCUGGACCUGAUUUGCAAGAAAUCAACAGUACCGGAUCAAUACCCGACUUUCACCUUGAAGCUACUUCACUGGACGUUAUGAUCAGACAACCCCAUUUGAUUUUUCCUCCAAAUAUUUAACCGUUCCAUUACCUGACAUGAUCUUGCCACACUUAUUUAUGUUCUGACCACUAGUCUGAAACAUUGCGGUAUGUUUGCACCAGCACUUCUCCUUCCAUUUACGGUGCAUAAACAUAGUUCACCGGAGACGGCAUAUACAAGACAGCAAAUAAUGUACUCGUUAAGAGGCAGGAAUCUUUGGUAAUCCAAAUUCAUCCACAGCAACGCCAUCCUUAAACAAACAAACAAAACACAAAUAUCAAAGACAGUUCAAUAUCAAUAAUACAGUGAAAAAAUGCAAAAAUUGACAUACCACGUUAACGCUUUCAGCUCCUGGUUCCCUGUCUGGCGCUGACGGAGCCUUGAUCGCAUCGUCAAGAUAAGAUGAAUCUUCAUCUCCAAGCAUUUCAUCGCCCAGAGCUUCCAGUUCAGCUUCCAGUUCAUCUUCAUCAAUGUCAGGGGUUCCAUAGCUCCUACCAAGGGCUUCUUGGACUUCAUCAGCUUGUUCAAGCAUAUCAGCCAUAUCAUCUUGGAUAUCCUUUUUUGGAAGGAAAACAAAAAAUUGUAUGUUCUGCUCAAUACUACGAAAGUAGAUAAUAAGUCUAACCUCAACUUGAUCAAUAUUUAUCUUCUUAAACUCUUUUUUCAUUUCUUUUAAACCCAUUUGCAUGGCUUUCACCGUAGAUUGUGUAUCUUUCAACGUUUGUGUGGCAUAGUUAGCCUGUUCCAUGUUGAAUGACUGUUGACGCAAAUUACCAGCUUGUUGUUCAUACCUGGACAAAGCAUUCUUAUUAAAUUUUUGCCCAUAGUUAUUCUAAA